RNAcentral lists this ribosomal RNA (497 nucleotides) under uncultured bacterium. Its description in RNAcentral is "partial 16S ribosomal RNA". It matches the Rfam family "Bacterial small subunit ribosomal RNA", at positions 28 to 507 of the family's 1533-position model. The record is from RNAcentral.
GACGAACGCUGGCGGCGUGCCUAAUACAUGCAAGUAGAACGCUGAAGAGAGGAGCUUGCUCUUCUUGGAUGAGUUGCGAACGGGUGAGUAACGCGUAGGUAACCUGCCUUGUAGCGGGGGAUAACUAUUGGAAACGAUAGCUAAUACCGCAUAACAAUGGAUGACACAUGUCAUUUAUUUGAAAGGGGCAAUUGCUCCACUACAAGAUGGACCUGCGUUGUAUUAGCUAGUAGGUGAGGUAAUGGCUCACCUAGGCGACGAUACAUAGCCGACCUGAGAGGGUGAUCGGCCACACUGGGACUGAGACACGGCCCAGACUCCUACGGGAGGCGGCAGUAGGGAAUCUUCGGCAAUGGGGGCAACCCUGACCGAGCAACGCCGCGUGAGUGAAGAAGGGUUUCGGAUCGUAAAGCUCUGUUGUAAGUCAAGAACGGGUGUGAGAGUGGAAAGCUCACACUGUGACGGUAGCUUACCAGAAAGGGACGGCUAACUACGUG